This 273-nucleotide ribosomal RNA is filed under the name uncultured Lachnospiraceae bacterium. RNAcentral's name for it is "partial 16S ribosomal RNA". It matches the Rfam family "Bacterial small subunit ribosomal RNA", at positions 75 to 339 of the family's 1533-position model. Lineage: Bacteria; Bacillati; Bacillota; Clostridia; Lachnospirales; Lachnospiraceae. The record is from RNAcentral.
UUUCUUCGGAAUGAAGUUUUAGUGACUGAGUGGCGGACGGGUGAGUAACGCGUGGGUAACCUGCCUCACACAGGGGGAUAACAGUUGGAAACGACUGCUAAUACCGCAUAAGCGCACGGUAUCGCAUGAUACAGUGUGAAAAACUCCGGUGGUAUAAGAUGGACCCGCGUCUGAUUAGCUUGUUGGUGAGGUAACGGCCCACCAAGGCGACGAUCAGUAGCCGACUUGAGAGAGUGAUCGGCCACAUUGGGACUGAGACACGGCCCAAACUCC